RNAcentral lists this long non-coding RNA (457 nucleotides) under Nicotiana benthamiana. RNAcentral describes it as "long non-coding RNA (NBEN_LNC007498)". Lineage: Eukaryota; Viridiplantae; Streptophyta; Magnoliopsida; Solanales; Solanaceae. The record is from RNAcentral.
UUCAAGAUACGUGUUCCCCCUCAAUUUAUGAUUCCCCCUCAAUGUAUGCUAAUAUAUCAAAGUGUGCAUGGGAAAUAUAUUAUAGUAUGUAUGCAUGCAUAGCCCGUUAUCUUCCCCCUUUUGACAUUAACAAAAAGUAUAAAAAGAAAUAUUUUAUUAUUUAAAAAGAUAAAGUAGUAUAUAAUCAACAAGAUACCAAAAUUAAACGGGGCAGAAUAUAAGCUGAAAUUUCAAAAUACAACAAGAAAAAUUUUUAAUCAUCAUUAUCCUCUUCGUCGUUGACGUUGUCUGGCGCAGUUUGAUAUGGAACAAGAGCAGCAUAUGGAUAAUUGACAUAAUCAAAAUAUCCAUGAAGUUCAAAUCUCAGUUGAGAAAUUUGGUCUGAGAUUGAUUGGAGAGUAGGCUCUUGAGUACGACGAGGUUGAGGACGAGGACGAGGAGGAGGAGGAGCAGCUUG